This 1372-nucleotide ribosomal RNA is filed under the name uncultured bacterium. RNAcentral describes it as "bacterial SSU rRNA". It matches the Rfam family "Bacterial small subunit ribosomal RNA", at positions 28 to 1381 of the family's 1533-position model. The record is from RNAcentral.
GAUGAACGCUGGCGGCGUGCCUAAUACAUGCAAGGCGAGCGAACGGACGAGAAGCUUGCUUCUCUGAUGUUAGCGGCGGACGGGUGAGUAACACGUGGAUAACCUACCUAUAAGACUGGGAUAACUUCGGGAAACCGGAGCUAAUACCGGAUAAUAUUUUGAACCGCAUGGUUCAAAAGUGAAAGACGGUCUUGCUGUCACUUAUAGAUGGAUCCGCGCUGCAUUAGCUAGUUGGUAAGGUAACGGCUUACCAAGGCAACGAUGCAUAGCCGACCUGAGAGGGUGAUCGGCCACACUGGAACUGAGACACGGUCCAGACUCCUACGGGAGGCAGCAGUAGGGAAUCUUCCGCAAUGGGCGAAAGCCUGACGGAGCAACGCCGCGUGAGUGAUGAAGGUCUUCGGAUCGUAAAACUCUGUUAUUAGGGAAGAACAUAUGUGUAAGUAACUGUGCACAUCUUGACGGUACCUAAUCAGAAAGCCACGGCUAACUACGUGCCAGCAGCCGCGGUAAUACGUAGGUGGCAAGCGUUAUCCGGAAUUAUUGGGCGUAAAGCGCGCGUAGGCGGUUUUUUAAGUCUGAUGUGAAAGCCCACGGCUCAACCGUGGAGGGUCAUUGGAAACUGGAAAACUUGAGUGCAGAAGAGGAAAGUGGAAUUCCAUGUGUAGCGGUGAAAUGCGCAGAGAUAUGGAGGAACACCAGUGGCGAAGGCGACUUUCUGGUCUGUAACUGACGCUGAUGUGCGAAAGCGUGGGGAUCAAACAGGAUUAGAUACCCUGGUAGUCCACGCCGUAAACGAUGAGUGCUAAGUGUUAGGGGGUUUCCGCCCCUUAGUGCUGCAGCUAACGCAUUAAGCACUCCGCCUGGGGAGUACGACCGCAAGGUUGAAACUCAAAGGAAUUGACGGGGACCCGCACAAGCGGUGGAGCAUGUGGUUUAAUUCGAAGCAACGCGAAGAACCUUACCAAAUCUUGACAUCCUUUGACAACUCUAGAGAUAGAGCUUUCCCCUUCGGGGGACAAAGUGACAGGUGGUGCAUGGUUGUCGUCAGCUCGUGUCGUGAGAUGUUGGGUUAAGUCCCGCAACGAGCGCAACCCUUAAGCUUAGUUGCCAUCAUUAAGUUGGGCACUCUAAGUUGACUGCCGGUGACAAACCGGAGGAAGGUGGGGAUGACGUCAAAUCAUCAUGCCCCUUAUGAUUUGGGCUACACACGUGCUACAAUGGACAAUACAAAGGGCAGCGAAACCGCGAGGUCAAGCAAAUCCCAUAAAGUUGUUCUCAGUUCGGAUUGUAGUCUGCAACUCGACUACAUGAAGCUGGAAUCGCUAGUAAUCGUAGAUCAGCAUGCUACGGUGAAUACGUUCCCGGGUCU